This 433-nucleotide ribosomal RNA is filed under the name uncultured bacterium. RNAcentral's name for it is "partial 16S ribosomal RNA". It matches the Rfam family "Bacterial small subunit ribosomal RNA", at positions 29 to 507 of the family's 1533-position model. The record is from RNAcentral.
AACGAACGCUGGCGGCAUGCCUAACACAUGCAAGUCGAACGAGACCUUCGGGUCUAGUGGCGCACGGGUGCGUAACGCGUGGGAACCUGCCCUUAGGUUCGGAAUAACUCCCCGAAAGGGGUGCUAAUACCGGAUAAUGUCUUCGGACCAAAGAUUUAUCGCCUUUGGAUGGGCCCGCGUUGGAUUAGCUAGUUGGUAGGGUAAAAGCCUACCAAGGCGACGAUCCAUAGCUGGUCUGAGAGGAUGACCAGCCACACUGGGACUGAGACACGGCUCAGACUCCGACGGGAGGCAGCAGUGGGGAAUAUUGGACGAGGGGCGAAAGCCUGAUCCAGCCAUGCCGCGUGAGUGAUGAAGGGCGUAGGGUUGUAAAGCUCUUUUACCCGGGAUGAUAAUGACAGUACCGGGAGAAUAAGCGCCGGCUAACUCCGUG